AGUGAACGCUGGCGGUAGGCCUAACACAUGCAAGUCGAACGGCAGCACAGUAAGAGCUUGCUCUUACGGGUGGCGAGUGGCGGACGGGUGAGGAAUACAUCGGAAUCUACUUUUUCGUGGGGGAUAACGUAGGGAAACUUACGCUAAUACCGCAUACGACCUACGGGUGAAAGCAGGGGAUCUUCGGACCUUGCGCGAUUGAAUGAGCCGAUGUCGGAUUAGCUAGUUGGCGGGGUAAAGGCCCACCAAGUCGACGAUCCGUAGCUGGUCUGAGAGGAUGAUCAGCCACACUGGAACUGAGACACGGUCCAGACUCCUACGGGAGGCAGCAGUGGGGAAUGUUGGACAAUGGGCGCAAGCCUGAUCCAGCCAUACCGCGUGGGUGAAGAAGGCCUUCGGGUUGUAAAGCCCUUUUGUUGGGAAAGAAAAGCAGCAGGUUAAUACCCCGCUGUUCUGACGGUACCCAAAGAAUAAGCACCGGCUAACUUCGUG
RNAcentral lists this ribosomal RNA (492 nucleotides) under uncultured bacterium. RNAcentral's name for it is "partial 16S ribosomal RNA". It matches the Rfam family "Bacterial small subunit ribosomal RNA", at positions 29 to 507 of the family's 1533-position model. The record is from RNAcentral.